AGAAUCAACGCUGGCGGCGUGCCUAACACAUGCAAGUCGCACGAGAAAGUGGAGCAAUCCACGAGUAAAGUGGCGCACGGGUGAGUAACACGUGAAUAAUCUACCUCCGAGUGGGGAAUAACUGAGAGAAAUCUUAGCUAAUACCGCAUAAUACCCACGGGUCAAAGCAGCAAUGCGCUUGGAGAGGAGUUCGCGGCCGAUUAGCUAGUUGGCGGGGUAAUGGCCCACCAAGGCGAUGAUCGGUAUCCGGCCUGAGAGGGCGCACGGACACACUGGAACUGAAACACGGUCCAGACUCCUACGGAGGCAGCAGUGGGGAAUUUUGCGCAAUGGGGGAAACCCUGACGCAGCAACGCCGCGUGGAGGAUGAAAUCCCUUGGGAUGUAAACUCCUUUCGAUAGGGAAGAUAAUGACGGUACCUAUAGAAGAAGCCCGGCUAACUUCGUGCCAGCAGCCGC
RNAcentral lists this ribosomal RNA (458 nucleotides) under uncultured bacterium. RNAcentral describes it as "SSU rRNA". It matches the Rfam family "Bacterial small subunit ribosomal RNA", at positions 26 to 518 of the family's 1533-position model. The record is from RNAcentral.